CAAAGGUUUGGUCCUGACUUUUCUAUCAGCUUUAGCUAAGCUUACACAUGCAAGUAUCCGCCCCCCCGUGAGAAUGCCCUACAGUCCCCCUACCCGGGGGCAAGGAGCUGGUAUCAGGCACAAUCCUACAAAUACUGCCCACGACACCUUGCUUAGCCACACCCCCAAGGGAUGCCAGCAGUGAUAAACAUUAAGCCAUGAGUGAAAACUUGACUUAGCCACAGCUACUAGGGCCGGUAAAACUCGUGCCAGCCACCGCGGUUAUACGAGAGGCCCAAGUUGAUAGACACCGGCGCAAAGAGUGGUUAGGUAACUUAAUAAACUAAAGCCGAACGCCCCCAAGGCUGUUAUACGUGCUCGGAGGUAUGAAGCCCAACUACGAAAGUGGCUUUAACUAUGUCUGAACCCACGAAAGCUGUGAAACAAACUGGGAUUAGAUACCCCACUAUGCUCAGCCCUAAACUUUGAUAGUUCAACCACGCCCACUAUCCGCCUGGGUACUACGAGCUUUAGCUUAAAACCCAAAGGACUUGGCGGUGCUUAAGAUCCGUCUAGAGGAGCCUGUUCUAGAACCGAUACCCCACGUUUGACCUCACCCUCUCUUGUUCAGACCGCCUAUAUACCGCCGCCGUCAGCCCACCCUGCAAAGGUCUAGUAGUAGGCUUAAUUGGUAUGACCCAAAAUGCCAGGUCGAGGUGUAGCGUAUGAGAGGGGAAGCAAUGGGCUACAUUUCCUAACCAGGAAACACGGAUGAUGAACUGAAACAAGCAUUCUGAAGGAGGAUUUAGCAGUAAAUGAAAGUCAGAAUAUUUCAUUGAAACCUCGGCUCUAAAGCACGCACACACCGCCCGUCACUCUCCCCGAAAUACAACCUUCCACAUACAUAAACUCCUUACAUAAGAUAAGGGGAGAAAAGUCGUAACAUGGUAAGUGUACCGGAAGGUGCACUUGGAACCCAACU
RNAcentral lists this non-coding RNA (961 nucleotides) under Mugil curema (white mullet). RNAcentral describes it as "12S ribosomal RNA". It matches the Rfam family "Bacterial small subunit ribosomal RNA". Lineage: Eukaryota; Metazoa; Chordata; Actinopteri; Mugiliformes; Mugilidae. The record is from RNAcentral.